This is a long non-coding RNA of Thalassophryne amazonica, 551 nucleotides long. RefSeq lists it as uncharacterized. Lineage: Eukaryota; Metazoa; Chordata; Actinopteri; Batrachoidiformes; Batrachoididae. The record is from RefSeq and is a predicted model, not a curated record. The transcript is spliced from 4 exons.
AGAUUGCCACCAGAGCGGGUUCUUCUGUCACCAUGGAAGACCCGCCCCCGGCGAACGGACUUGCUCUUCUCCUGACAAGGAGAGAGAGGGCUGGAAUGAAAUACAACUCCCUCAACUGCAGCAGGAGAGAGUGGUGUUACCAUUGCGGAUAAACUCAGGAGCUAACCAAUCACCAACUCCACGUAGGUUUGAUGACAACCCACAGACCCAGUGUAGACCAUCGGAUCGUGGAGCACAUCAUCAGAGUCUGAACCAGAGCGUGAUCAAUCUGAUGAAGUGGACUUUAUUGUUCUGGUCUGGAUGAACCAGAGCAGGUGGAUUCACCGAUCUGUGUGCACAGAUCAGCCCAGUGGAUUGGACCACAUGCUUCUCUUUCCAUCUUCUCCAGGACUCAUGCUUUUCUCCUCCAGCGCAGAGUCCUGGAGCACAGCAGGGUGGAGACAAACACUGCCCCAGCAGUCAGCAGGCUCCAGGGGCAGAGAACACAGGAGUUAAGACAUGCAGCCGUUGUUGGUGAUUAAAGAAGAAACUCUCCCUGAACACCAGGAAUG